AAGAGAGAGAGAGGGAGAGAGAGAGAGAGAGAGAGAGGAGAGAGAGGAGAGAGAGAGAGAGGGGGAGAAAGCUCACCAGAAGUCCUCGCCGGAGCCACCACAUGCCAGACCGUUGAGCUCGCCACCAGCAUCAUCCGCAACCAAAGGUAACCGGAAACCGCCAUAUUUUUGAGUUUAGUUUCGGCCGUUUUAGUAAAUCAACCGUAACUUCUUAACCGUUGCGAAUCUCGUGCAUCCAAGCCCAUCAUCGUGUUCCUCUCGUCGAGACGAAGCCGUAGACACCAAGCACGCCUCAAACGGAGCCCGGACGAAGCCGUACGCGCCUCCAGAAAACCGCCCUUCGCGCGCGCGUGAAACGCACGCGCCGCCGCCAGAAAUCGUCGCCACCGCAGCUCCGCCGCCGGACCACCGUCCGCCGCCGCAGCUCCGCCGUCGCCGCCGGCCAACUUUCCGAUUUGGAGUCCAUUUGAGCAGCUGGAGUUCAUAGAUAUCACUUAUUAUUGCUAAGGUGAGACAAACAAGUAUGUGAUAUUUGGACGGACUUGGUGCUAUUGGACUUUUCUUUCGGAUUUUAUUUGGGCAUGGGUGAGAGUUGUCGGGUUUAUGGGCUUUUAUAUUACGGGAUAUUGUUGGUGGCCCGUCGUCCUUAGUGUCAGGGAGACGGGUAUCACAUUGUUGUAUGAUGACGCGUCGGGGGUGACACGCUGUCCUCCAUAUAGGAGGUGACGGGUGUCACAAUUUGGUAUCAGAGCGGGUUCCAUCCCGGUUCCGUCCGGGAUGGCGGUCAGGGGAUUCGGUUUUCAUCGGUUUUCAACUUUAAAAAAAAAAAAAAAAAACUAUAUAUUUAUUUAUACAUUUCGAAAUUCUUUUAGCACCAUUCUGUCCAGUAAUUACUAACUCAAAUGUCUCUUUCUAUGACGAUGAGUAAAAUCAUCGUCAUUAGUCCUUCGACUAACAAGGUUCUCGACAGAUGUUCAGCAGUUGCGUGAAGUCCAAGUUUGUCAGUUUUCUCUGGAGUUAUCAGUUUCUUCGUUCAUGAUUCGAGGCUAUCCAGGAGUGAAUAUGUGACGUUUCUGCCACCAGCCCACUUCAAGCAAUCGUUCCACGAGUUUUGUUACUGGAGAUUAUGUGGUGUGUGGUAUGAGCCAUUGGUUGGCAUGUGUUGUUGUGUGUACGAGUAUAUUGACUAUUUUGGAGAUAUAUUUUUUUUGUGAACUCGUGGAGAUCGCUUUUGAAUUGGGGUGCAGCAGCUUGCGUUGUGUGGGUGUUGGAGUUACACUUUGGUAUGUUUACCAAUUUUGGCAGUCUUGAUCGUUUCAGAGAUGUGUCAGUUUGGACAACUGACAUAGGACAUUGGGAGCUAUUUAUAUCCAUCGCAGUGUACCAGUUAUGCUUGGAGGGCCGAUUUGUUCGGAUAUUCAUCAGAGAUGGAGCUACGUUUUUACGAUGUUAUCCUUGGGACGGAUUGAUUGUCACGGCAUCAAGUAGUGUUGGAUUGCCUGAGGGCAAGAGUUCCGAUUGCUGGAGCAGAUGGAAGUUGUUAGUGCAUGCAUGCUACAUACUGAGGAGUUAUGGGAUACAAGGACAUAGAGAUUUUUUUGACUACCAACUCGAUGGUUAAGGCUGAUGGACAACAUGAGCUACAGGAUCUUCCGGUUAUUGCAUAGUAUGAGGAUAUAUUUGUGACCUUUGGAACGGUCACCACAUGACACAUGAGAAACUCUUGCGAUUUGUUUGGAGCAAACAACACCAGUUUCACAAGUUUUAUACCGAUUAGCACCAACAGAGAUGACAAAGCUGAAAGAGCAUGUUGAAGAUUCAUAAGACAAGGGUUUUAUCAGACCGGGUACUUUACCGUGGGGAACAUCAUCAUUGUUGUUGUAAAGAAGAAAGGUGGGAGUUUCAAUUUUGUAUCGACUGCAAAGGUCUGAACAAAGUGACCAUUAAAGAUAAGUAUCGCUUCCGCGCGUUGAUGAAUUAUUGGAUUAUUUAUAGGAAGUUUAUAGUUCUUGAAGGUUGACAUGGCAUCAGAACACCAUCAGAUUACUAUAUUUGAAGAGUAUCUACUGAAUGUGAAUUUUUGUAUACAUUAUGGAUAUUAUGGGACGCAGUGAUACCAUUUGGCUCGACAAAGGCACUGUUGCAUUCAUGAAGAUAUGAAUGACGUUUUCGUGAACAUUUGGAUAGGUGUGCGAUUGUAUUCAUCGAUGACAUCCUGAUUUAUUUUGGAGUAGAAAGGAGAUUUGUGAGCAUUUCGCGGAUUGCGUUGGAUAAGCCUGGAAAGCAUCAGUUGUUCGCUAAGUUUAGGAAGUGUAGCUUCUGGCAGAGGAAUGUUGUAUUUUUGGAUAACAUGGUUUUGGAAGCAGAAUUUUGAUGGAUUCAAAGAAGAUUAAUACCGUUUCGGGAAGGUCGAAACCUAAGAGCGCUACAAAGAUCUGCCGUUCUUUUUGGGUUAAUAGUGUACUACUGGAAGUUCAUCAAGGGUUUCACCGGUAUAGUAAUGUUAAAGACGCGGUCUACAUGUAAAGACGUUAAGUGUGGUUGGAUAGAUUUUUGUUCGAGGAGUUUCACUGAAUUGAAGCACAACUAAUGAAGACACCAGUUUUGGGUUCUACUGAGGCUGAGGCUUACUGUGAUGUGUCAGAUACUGGAUUGGAUUUAAAUUAAGGUAUGAGGAUUAAGUCAUUCAUAUGCAUCACGCCAGAGAGGCUGUAGUGGUAUUUGCGUUAUCGUUUUGGAGAUCGUAAUUGUACGGGAAGGAAGUUCAGAUUCUCUGGGAUUAUUAGAAUGUGAAAUUUAUCUUCAUUUAUUAAAAACUUGUACUUGGACAGUGCAGUUGGAUUGAGUUUGUAGCAGGCUAUAGUCUGGAUAUCGCAUACUAUCUGGUAAGGACAACCAGGUGAUAAAUGCCUUGGGUAGGCGUAUGAGCUGUAUCUCAGGAACCAAGAAGGUUCAUGAGUUGGAGAUUUGCUAGUCUCAGGUUGGGUGCCAUUACUAUCAAUGGAGAGACAGAUGUCCUUGGGACUUUGGAGCAGGCAGUUUUGCUAUGGAGGAUACACAAGCACAAGUUAGCAUUCUGGAUUGGUUGAACAGAUCGAGAUUGGGAGUAUUGGAUAUCAUACAGCUUUGAGCAGGAUAUACUUGUACUGAAACCGAGUUUGUGUGUUGGACGAUAAGUUGUUAAGAAAAGGAAUCUUACAACAAACAUAUCACUCGUGUUUCUCUACCCAUCGGGAAGACCAAAGGGUACAAAGAUAUGAAGAGUUAACUAUAAUUGGUGUAGUAUGAAGAUGUUUGUAACUACAUUACGUCGCGGUGCCAGACGUGUUAUAUGGCAAUGACAGAGGAUCAGUCAUCUAUCAUGUUAUUUUUGAGCUUGCUUUUGCCGGAGUAGAAAUGAGGCAUGGUGAUUAUGGACAUUGUUAUUGGAUUUUAAAUCACCAUAUGUGGAAAGGAUGCCACAUUGGUAGUCAUGGAUAGACUUACCAAGUCAGCCCAUUUCCUAAGUAAUUAAGAAGAUAAUCAGGGCUAAUCAAUUGGAGCAGACCUACAUUAUUGAGUUUGGGAAGUUUCAUGGAUGUCAACAUUGUAUCGGAUUGGGAAUCGAAGUUCACAUCUACAUUUCAGAGAGUCUUUCGGAAGGCACUUGGGACAAAGAUCAUAUGGGUACAUCUUAUCACCCGUUGACAUAUUGUCAGUCAGAGAGGACUACUCAGAACUUAAAGGAUAUGUUCAGAGAUUGUGUGGGAUGGAAUUUUGGAAAGCAUCUACCCAUACCAGAGUUUGCCUACAUCGACAGCUAUCUUUUGAGUAUUAAAAAAAUUACUAUACGAGGGUUAUUUAUGGUAGACCCUAUAGUAUACCACUUUGUUGGACCAAAGUGGGGUAGUAAUAUGAGUUAGAACUAUUAAUGGUUUAAGAGACGGUAGAGCAGAGGACAUGCUCAAGGAUUGGCUUUCGGAAGCCCAUGACGUCAGAGCAUUUAUGCAGCUAAGCACCGUAAGGAUUUAGAGCUACAUAUGAGCACCUAAUAUACCUGAAAAUAAGGACAUUUCAGGAGGGACCUAAGACUCAGAAGAUAAAGGAGCUUAAACCGAGACACAUGGAAUUGUAUCCUUCGCUGGAGUGGAUUGGAUUAAUUGCUUGCAGUUACUUUAUCAGCAGUAUAUCAGCCUUCUAGUACUUGGUUCAUAUGACAGCAUUGCAAAAGUUAAGAAGGCGCUAUAACUAUUUUGCAGUAGACAUCAAGUGAGUUCAUAAAGAUUUUAUGAACCUUAUCAUCUAUUGGAGAUUUUGGAUCAUCAUGAGAAGACAGUUCAGGGAAUAUCGACUGUGUUUGUCCGAGUUCAUUGGGAGGGAGAUAAGACCCAGGAGGAGACCUGAAAGGUCGAGCGAAGAUUAGUAUUCGAGGUUUUGCUAUGAUGACAUUGGGCAUGUCAGCUUAUGACUUGAAUUCGGGGUCGAAUUCCUUGUUAGUGGGGGAGAAUUGUAAUGACCCACCUCCACUAUCUCCACCAUCUCCACCAUCCCCACCAUCCCCACCACUCCCACCAUCCCCAACUUCUUUAAAGAGAAAAGAGAGAGAGAGGGAGAGAGAGAGAGAGAGAGAGGAGAGAGAGGAGAGAGAGAGAGAGGGGGAGAAAGCUCACCAGAAGUCCUCGCCGGAGCCACCACAUGCCAGACCGUUGAGCUCGCCACCAGCAUCAUCCGCAACCAAAGGUAACCGGAAACCGCCAUAUUUUUGAGUUUAGUUUCGGCCGUUUUAGUAAAUCAACCGUAACUUCUUAACCGUUGCGAAUCUCGUGCAUCCAAGCCCAUCAUCGUGUUCCUCUCGUCGAGACGAAGCCGUAGACACCAAGCACGCCUCAAACGGAGCCCGGACGAAGCCGUACGCGCCUCCAGAAAACCGCCCUUCGCGCGCGCGUGAAACGCACGCGCCGCCGCCAGAAAUCGUCGCCACCGCAGCUCCGCCGCCGGACCACCGUCCGCCGCCGCAGCUCCGCCGUCGCCGCCGGCCAACUUUCCGAUUUGGAGUCCAUUUGAGCAGCUGGAGUUCAUAGAUAUCACUUAUUAUUGCUAAGGUGAGACAAACAAGUAUGUGAUAUUUGGACGGACUUGGUGCUAUUGGACUUUUCUUUCGGAUUUUAUUUGGGCAUGGGUGAGAGUUGUCGGGUUUAUGGGCUUUUAUAUUACGGGAUAUUGUUGGUGGCCCGUCGUCCUUAGUGUCAGGGAGACGGGUAUCACAUUGUUGUAUGAUGACGCGUCGGGGGUGACACGCUGUCCUCCAUAUAGGAGGUGACGGGUGUCACAGGACCUUUGAAUAUUCAAAGAAUACCUAAACUAUAUUAAAUAAAUGGGAAAAACUUUGGACCA
Long non-coding RNA from Brassica napus (rape), 5373 nucleotides. RefSeq lists it as uncharacterized. Lineage: Eukaryota; Viridiplantae; Streptophyta; Magnoliopsida; Brassicales; Brassicaceae. The transcript has 5 exons. The record is from RefSeq and is a predicted model, not a curated record.